Sander lucioperca (pikeperch) is the source of this 162-nucleotide long non-coding RNA. RefSeq lists it as uncharacterized. The record is from RefSeq and is a predicted model, not a curated record. The transcript is spliced from 3 exons. NCBI's taxonomy places the organism in Eukaryota, Metazoa, Chordata, Actinopteri, Perciformes, Percidae.
AUAAUAUGCAGGAUUUUCCUAAACAACAAUGUAUAGACUAAUACAAAUGUAAUCCCUCUUAAUCAUCACUUAUGACCCACUAGAAGUGUGUGGCGGUGUCUGUAUUUGCAGAGACCCCGCCCUCUGCCUGAAUUUUCUUCUUAUUUUUUACAUUGUUGUGUG